This 103-nucleotide small nuclear RNA is filed under the name Cercocebus atys (sooty mangabey). Lineage: Eukaryota; Metazoa; Chordata; Mammalia; Primates; Cercopithecidae. The record is from RNAcentral.
GUGCUCGCUUGCGCAGCGCAUACACUAAAACUCGAACGAUACAGAGAUUAGUAGGCCUCUGUGCAAGGAUGGCACGCCAAUUUGUGAAAUGUUCCAUAUAAAA